Molecule: long non-coding RNA, 758 nt
Filed under: Papio anubis (olive baboon)
Lineage: Eukaryota; Metazoa; Chordata; Mammalia; Primates; Cercopithecidae
Description: lncRNA (ENSPANG00000039732.1)
Source: RNAcentral
GUACGCGGCGGUAGCAGGUAGGGGCUUGGCAGUGUGGGAGGAGAUACCACAGAAGACGGAAGAACUACCAGGCCUUGGUUCAUCUCCACACUGGCGAGAGAGGACGUGCAGGGAGGUAUUGGCUGCCAGAUAGGGAACUGAGACUUCAAGAAGCUAAAUAAAUAAGGUGUCCAACACCACACAGCAUGGAGCAAAGGACACAUGGGACUCCAAAUCUUCCUAAUUCUUGAGCUCAUCUGGCUAUCUCACCAGGGCCUUAAAUUUAAUAUAUCCCAAACCAAACUCAUCUUUAUCCCUUCCCACUUUGCACUUCUCAAAUGUCCUUGUUUAAAAUAGUUACCUUUAUCUUUCCUAACCCAGAAACUCAAAACCUGACAUCAUUUUCAACUUCUCUCUUUGCCUUCACAUUCAAUCAGUUUCCAAGACUUAAAGCCUUUACUUGUAGGAUCUCUACCAUUGAUCCUCUACAGUUUCACACCUACAUCCCAUUCUCAUUCCCAAUCCCCGUAACUCCCCUCCUGGCCCAUCCCUUAACACUGAAAUCCUGGCUUGGAAAAUAUGGUCACGUUCACAGCAGCUGUCCUCAAGAAGGAAGCCAAGGCAACAGUAUGCACAAUGAAAUCACUCUGGGAGAAACUCACUGCCACGUUGUGACAACACUAUGGAGAGGCCCAGGUGAGGGACUGACGCUUCCUGCCAACGGCCACAUGAAUAAGAUUGGGAACAGAUCCUUCAGCCCCCGUCAAGCCUUCAGAUGA